AUUGAACGCUGGCGGCAUGCCUUACACAUGCAAGUCGAACGGCAGCACGGGAGCAAUCCUGGUGGCGAGUGGCGAACGGGUGAGUAAUAUAUCGGAACGUGCCCAGUCGUGGGGGAUAACGCAGCGAAAGCUGUGCUAAUACCGCAUACGAUCUCUGGAUGAAAGCGGGGGACUUGCAAGAGCCUCGCGCGAUUGGAGCGGCCGAUAUCAGAUUAGCUAGUUGGUAGGGUAAAAGCCUACCAAGGCGACGAUCAGUAGCUGGUCUGAGAGGAUGAUCAGCCACACUGGGACUGAGACACGGCCCAGACUCCUACGGGAGGCAGCAGUGGGGAAUUUUGGACAAUGGGCGCAAGCCUGAUCCAGCCAUGCCGCGUGAGUGAAGAAGGCCUUCGGGUUGUAAAGCUCUUUCGCAAGGAAAGAAAACUUACAUGUAAAUAAUGUGUGAGGUUGA
RNAcentral lists this ribosomal RNA (451 nucleotides) under uncultured bacterium. RNAcentral describes it as "bacterial SSU rRNA". It matches the Rfam family "Bacterial small subunit ribosomal RNA", at positions 30 to 472 of the family's 1533-position model. The record is from RNAcentral.